GCUAGCAAUACUCAACUAAGUCAUCAUAUUAUGAAUGAUAAUUCCAAUAGUAGAUGAGCACAAGGCCUUUGGGCCUCCAAUGAUCAUUAUACUAUUGGACCCAUUAUCAUCCAACUUAAUAGGAGGCUAUGACUUAGUUAUCACCAUAACUAUCUCAUUUUAGGGGAUCUAAUAAUUUAGAAGAUUUAAUGAUGAAUUAAAAGAAGAGAAGAGAAG
This 216-nucleotide long non-coding RNA is filed under the name Elaeis guineensis (African oil palm). RNAcentral's name for it is "long non-coding RNA (EGUI_LNC064643)". Lineage: Eukaryota; Viridiplantae; Streptophyta; Magnoliopsida; Arecales; Arecaceae. The record is from RNAcentral.